GUGCCUGUGGGAUGACAUGCGCAUCCAUUUUAUUCACUUAAUAAGCUGAUGUUAUGUUCUUAGCUGAUCAUUAAGGAUGGGAAAUUU
This 87-nucleotide small nucleolar RNA is filed under the name Dichanthelium oligosanthes. RNAcentral's name for it is "Small nucleolar RNA snoR99". It matches the Rfam family "Small nucleolar RNA snoR99". Lineage: Eukaryota; Viridiplantae; Streptophyta; Magnoliopsida; Poales; Poaceae. The record is from Rfam by way of RNAcentral.